GAUGAACGCUGGCGGCGUGCUUAACACAUGCAAGUCGAACGAAGCUCCGGAAGCAGAGAUUUCGGUCAAAGCGGAAGGAAGACUUAGUGGCGGACGGGUGAGUAACGCGUGGGUAACCUGCCAUAUACAGGGGGAUAACAGUUAGAAAUGACUGCUAAUACCCCAUAAGCGCACAGUAAGGCAUCUUACAGUGUGAAAAGCCUUAACGGUAUAUGAUGGACCCGCGUCUGAUUAGCUGGUUGGUGAGGUAACGGCCCACCAAGGCGACGAUCAGUAGCCGGCCUGAGAGGGUGAACGGCCACAUUGGGACUGAGACACGGCCCAAACUCC
Molecule: ribosomal RNA, 330 nt
Filed under: uncultured Lachnospiraceae bacterium
Lineage: Bacteria; Bacillati; Bacillota; Clostridia; Lachnospirales; Lachnospiraceae
Description: bacterial SSU rRNA
Rfam family: Bacterial small subunit ribosomal RNA
Source: RNAcentral